RNAcentral lists this ribosomal RNA (252 nucleotides) under uncultured bacterium. RNAcentral describes it as "partial 16S ribosomal RNA". It matches the Rfam family "Bacterial small subunit ribosomal RNA", at positions 524 to 776 of the family's 1533-position model. The record is from RNAcentral.
UACAGAGGUCCCGAGCGUUGUUCGGAUUCAUUGGGCGUAAAGGGUGCGUAGGCGGCUUGCUAAGUUUGAUGUGAAAUCCUGGGGCUCAACCCUGGGACUGCAUUGAAUACUGGCAGGCUAGAGUACUGGAGAGGAAACUGGAAUUUACGGUGUAGCAGUGAAAUGCGUAGAGAUCGUAAGGAAGACCAGUGGCGAAGGCGAGUUUCUGGACAGUUACUGACGCUGAGGCACGAAGGCCAGGGAGCAAACGGG